RNAcentral lists this ribosomal RNA (189 nucleotides) under uncultured bacterium. RNAcentral's name for it is "partial 16S ribosomal RNA". It matches the Rfam family "Bacterial small subunit ribosomal RNA", at positions 338 to 524 of the family's 1533-position model. The record is from RNAcentral.
CCUACGGGAGGCAGCAGUAAGGAAUAUUGGUCAACGGACGAAAGUCUGAACCAGCCAUGCCGCGUGAAGGAUGAAGGUCCUCUGGAUUGUAAACUUCUUUUAUCUGGGACGAAAAAAGGUUAUUCUUAACCACUUGACGGUACCAGAGGAAUAAGCACCGGCUAACUCCGUGCCAGCAGCCGCGGUAAU